CCUACGGGAGGCAGCAGUGGGGAAUAUUGGGCAAUGGGCGCAAGCCUGACCCAGCAACGCCGCGUGAAGGAAGAAGGCUUUCGGGUUGUAAACUUCUUUUCUCAGGGACGAAGCAAGUGACGGUACCUGAGGAAUAAGCCACGGCUAACUACGUGCCAGCAGCCGCGGUAAUACGUAGGUGGCAAGCGUGAUCCGGAUUUACUGGGUGUAAAGGGCGUGUAGGCGGGACUGCACGUCAGAUGUGAAAACCAUGGGCUCAACCUAUGGACGGCAUUUGAUACUGUAGUUCUUGAGUACUGGAGAGGUAGGCGGAAGUCGUGGGGGAGCGGUGAAAGGCGGAGAUAGCAGGAAGAACACCGGGUGCGAAGGAAGUCUGUUAGACAACAACGGACGCUGAGGCGCGAAAGCGUGGGGAGCGAACAGGAUGAGAUACCCUUGUAGUC
Molecule: ribosomal RNA, 443 nt
Filed under: uncultured bacterium
Lineage: Bacteria
Description: partial 16S ribosomal RNA
Rfam family: Bacterial small subunit ribosomal RNA
Source: RNAcentral